Molecule: ribosomal RNA, 1062 nt
Filed under: marine metagenome
Description: bacterial SSU rRNA
Rfam family: Bacterial small subunit ribosomal RNA
Source: RNAcentral
CGAUGAAAGGUGCAAACCGCUCAAAGAUAAGCCUGCGUCCUAUUAGCUUGUUGGUGAGGUAACGGCUCACCAAGGCGACGAUGGGUAGCUGGUCUGAGAGGAUGGUCAGCCACAUUGGGACUGAGACACUGCCCAAACUCCUACGGGAGGCUGCAGUCGAGAAUAUUUCGCAAUGGGGGAAACCCUGACGAUGCGACGCCGCGUGGAGGAUGAAUGCCUUCGGGUUGUAAACUCCUUUUCUAAGAGACGAAGAUCUGACUGUAUCUUAGGAAUAAGCCCCAGCUAACUACGUGCCAGCAGCUGCGGUAAGACGUAGGGGGCAAGCGUUGUCCGGAAUUACUGGGCGUAAAGCGUGCGCAGGCGGCCAUGUAAGUCAAGUAUGAAAUCGAUUGGCUCAACCAAUCAACUGUGCUCGAAACUACAUGGCUUGAGUACGAGAGGGGAAAGCGGAAUGUACAGUGUAGCGGUGAAAUGCGUAGAGAUUGUACAGAACACCCACGGCGAAGGCAGCUUUCUGGCUCGAUACUGACGCUCAGGCACGAAAGUUAGGGGAGCGAAAGGGAUUAGAUACCCCUGUAGUCCUAACCGUAAACGAUGGGUACUAAGUAUAGGAGGGAUUACCCUUCUGUGCUGUAGCUAACGCAUUAAGUACCCCGCCUGAGGAUUACGGCCGCAAGGUUAAAACUCAAGGUAAUUGACGGGAGGCCGCACAAGCGGUGGAGCAUGUCGCUUAUAUUCGAAGCAACGCGAAGAACCUUACCAGGGCUUGACAUCCUUUGACCGCCAUAGAAAUAUGGUUUUCCCUUCGGGGACAAAGUGACAGGUGCUGCAUGGCUGUCGUCAGCUCGUGUCGUGAGAUGUUGGGUUAAGUCCCGCAACGAGCGCAACCCUUGUUGUUAGUUGCCAGCACGUAAUGGUGGGGACUCUAACGAGACUGCUGGUUAAAAGCCAGAGGAAGGUGGGGAUGACGUCAAGUCCGCAUGGCCCUUAUGCCCUGGGCUGCACACGUGCUACAAUGGCUGGUACAGAGGGUCGCCAACCCGCGAGGGGGAGCCAAUCCUU